UUAUUUAUUUUUUGUCUGUUCUGUAUCUAGUUUUUAUUUUGUUUUUGGAACUGUCUUUUUUUGCCAUGGCAUGCAAUUCUGAAAGUGUUCUUAAUUAUUUGGCCCUGAUUUCCCUGACAAAAGCUUGGGCAUAUCAUCCAAAUAGGGAUCGCACAAUCGAAAGGCUGACAUAGACAUUUGGGGUGCUCUUUUUGCUGAAUUUGUAGGCUCUGAGGACCAUAUACAUUAUCUCUGCCUUUAUACAGUGAGGGUUAUCUGGGAGAGCAGCGAUUAGGGAAAGAGUGAGAGACAUGAUAACACUGUUUGAAUCCCUUCAACCUUCUGUGCCUGAGACCAGUCCAUCCCUCUGUAACUUCCAGAUUAAGCAUAACAAUAUAUUCCUGCUGUUGCAUAAACCAGCUUCAGUUAGAUUUCUGCUACUUGCAAACAAACAGUCAUAAUUGAGAAUUCCUAACACGUAUGUACUUUUAUAGGACUUGAACAGUAUUGUGAAGCUUGUCAGUGAUAACUUCAUCCCAUGUAAUGCUGACUAUUUGGUGGUUACAUGGCUGUUCCAGGUGAUCAACCCAAGCUCCUCAACCUGGAGUCCCAGUGAAGGCAACUAUUUGCCUGAGUGAAGACUCAGGUAUGUAAAAUUCAUGAUGACUGGGUAGAGAUGCCCACUCAUCUUCCACAAUUGGGAAGGGAAGUCUGGGGGGAAGAGAUGCAAAGGACUUAAGAAUGAUAAGCUCUUCUUAAGGUUGCAUUUAAUUUGAUGUGCUGAAGCUUCUGUUCUUGGUGCUGAAUAUUCAUGUUUUGUGAGGAAUCCCAGAGGCUUCACAACAGUGUCAUUUUCUACAAUUCUAGAGUGAAGAGAAAUGUGCCUUUUGCUGAUAAUGUACCUGAAGGGUGAUGAAGGAAUGUGGUGGGGCGCCUGGGUGGCGCAGUCGGUUAAGCGUCUGACCUCAGCCAGGUCACCAUCUCGCGGCCCGGUGAGUUCGAGCCCCGCGUCGGGCUCUGGGCUGAUGGCUCAGAGCCUGGAGCCUGUUUCCGAUUCUGUGUCUCCCUCUCUCUCUGCCCCUCCCCCGUUCAUGCUCUGUCUCUCUCUGUCCCAAAAAUAAAUAAACGUUGAAAAAAAAAAAAAAGAAAUAGGAAUGUGGAGUUAGCAGAUCACUCUAUCCUCAAUCUUGCUAAUGAAGUAACCAAAAUUUUGAUUCACUUCUCAUCCCAUGCAGUCAUCUGACAUUCUGUCUUAGUUUUCUGAUUAUGUAGCCACAGACUGGGCAUGGAGACAAUGCCCCAGUCACUAACCAUGUCAACAACUGUGUGAGAUUGUGGUACUGAGUCACUGCCUCCAUUUUUGUUAAGUGGAGCACUGAGCACUUCAUCUUGUGAUAUCCAGGUCAUCCUAAACCAUUUUCAUGCUUUGGUUCCUGACUAAGAACGUACAUGAGAAUGAGUUCAUGUCCUGUGAAGAGAGAAAAGAUCUGUCCACUGAGACAGUAGAAUUGUUUUAUGGCACUGAUUCUUUUACUACCCAGCAGUAAAUUUUAAAGCAGGAGGCCAUUACUGAGGUGGUUUUAAUGCCUCAGUAAGGCAAACCAAAAUCUAAGCCUGUGAAUGCCUCAAGGUUCCAAAAUCAAAAUGCUAUGGACAACCAAUCACAAACAGCCUACCAGGGUUUAAGCUAUAGCCAAUCAAAUAAUUUCUUUUCUUUGCAACCAUACUUUAUAGGUGUUUACCAUAGUUCUUGUCUGCCAAGUGCUCUUAACUACUGAUGGUUUAGCGCUGCUUGGUUACAACAGAUUUUUCUCAAAAACCUCUUAAAAUUUUGAAUGUGCCUCAGUUUAUCUUUCAACAUAGGAUAUAGUUAUAAAAAAAACACAGAUUUUCUCCCUUGGCUUCUUCCUCUUUAAAAUAUGAAUAACAACUCUUCUUUUGAUGUCACGUUACUAUGUAUCAGUUAUGAUCAUGUCAGUAAAAGAGCUAAGUGGAGAGACGCAUUCAUCUCUGUUCAACCCUGUUUUACCUCCCUGGUUUGGUUUGGCAUCACUAGCCUUGGGCGUUACUAGAGGUUCCUUACUACUCUCCCACUCUGCAGCAAAGCCUCUUGGCAGUUCA
Molecule: long non-coding RNA, 2100 nt
Filed under: Felis catus (domestic cat)
Lineage: Eukaryota; Metazoa; Chordata; Mammalia; Carnivora; Felidae
Description: lncRNA (ENSFCAG00000042967.2)
Source: RNAcentral